Molecule: non-coding RNA, 869 nt
Organism: Dermacentor andersoni
Lineage: Eukaryota; Metazoa; Arthropoda; Arachnida; Ixodida; Ixodidae
Source: RefSeq, a predicted model, not a curated record
UUGAAUAAUUCUGAAAGCGAUGUGUUAAGGGCGACAGCAAGAGAAAGUUUCGGAAAAUUACGGUGGGGAUGUCUCUCCGGGCUGUGUGAUUUCGACGGCUGGCAUCACUUGCAACAGUGUUUCGUCGGUUUCGUCUUUGCCGACAUCAACAAGAUCACCGGAUCGUUUGACAAGCACCCACCCGACUUGCGGUCUUUGAUGCGUUCCUUUUAAUUGUGAAGUGAAUCGGGCAAGAUGAUAACACACAGAGGCGCCCAAAUGCAUCGGAAAGCCUACCGGUGGGAGGCGAGCGGCGCUGUUCUUUCUUUUAACCUCUCAGGUGUUCCGAGAUUUCAUUCAAGUCAUGUUACUGCAUUUGGGCCAGGCCCCUGGGAAACACUGGGUAGCCAGUUCUGGAUGUCAGGGGAGUCUUGGGAUCAAGCCAACCUGCUGUGUCCCAGCGUGCGAUCUUUUGUGACCCCUCUACAUCUUUAACCUAUCUUGCUGCUGUAUCUUGGGUUCCAUCUAUCCUAACAGCAUCACCAGCUGCGACCACUGAGUGAAUACUAUGCCAAGAAAACACGGCAGUGGCGAAGCCAUGGGCGAUCUGGAACAGCGUCGCCUGUGUUUUCUGAAAACUGCUCAUUAACAGUUAACAGCGACGACUGGGGUAAGUCAAACAGUGUAUCUUCUUUGAGGCCCUCAGCAUUUUUAGCAAUCAUUCAGGUGCUGUGCUGCAGGUGACUCGAGUCCUCUUCUCAUACAAGGGGAGCACUGAGUGGAAGACAAAACAUAGACUGAAAAGAGACGAGAUGCUUUUGAGUGUCUCUGUGUUUAACCGUGUGUAGGCACCCACUUAUGUAAAUAAAUGUAAAGAGUUUUGUUCCGUU